Molecule: long non-coding RNA, 331 nt
Filed under: Mytilus galloprovincialis (Mediterranean mussel)
Lineage: Eukaryota; Metazoa; Mollusca; Bivalvia; Mytilida; Mytilidae
Source: RNAcentral
GCUAUAUUCAUAAAAAUGUUAACUAUUGGCAUAUUUCCUGAUAAAUUAUCUAUUUUUUGUCUUCCAGGGUGAAGAGUUUUAGUGUCUUGUCAUUGACCUAAUCAAAUAAUCAUUACUUCUGAUAAGUGGCUGUGUUGCAGUAGCAGAAGAGAAUGAAAUGCCAGCAGACGUCAUACCGAAUCCUGAUCAAUCCUUGACAUUCAAAACUUUGAUGUCAUCAUUUGGUGAUCGACAAAACACAAAAUGAUCAACAAAGUAUAUUUGCGUCAAUGUUAUGUAGAAAUGGGGCAAUGAUUGCAAAGCUUCUGCACUCAUCAUUAUAUAAUGAAAU